GAUCGAAUGUCACAUCUUUAUAUAUAACAGGAGUUCUAUACAAAAUAAAUAAUUACAUUAUAAGGAGACAACGGUCCAGCAACCCAAAGUUGACUGGGAGACGACGACCUAGACCACUCACGAACUCAACGCAGCAUCCUUCAAGCGCCUCAUCCUGCGGUACCUGUUCUUGACCUGUGGGGGGGGGGUGUGAGACAGCAAGAGUGAGCUCACAUACGUUCAUCGCUCAACAAGUUGUGGGGAAUAAUGUGCAUGAACUCGCCAAAGGUGGGAGCUCACGUGAAGUGUAAGGCUUACCAAAGAGGAUGGCUGAAGCUGAGCAUUGCUUUUAAAGUUGGUCAAAAUUUUAUUAGCCAUAACUAAGUAUAAGUAAAUACCAACCCAAUUAAAUAGUAGAACAGAAGUAACAUCAUCACCUGCGAUGCAAUGCAUAUGACAAAUUGAAUUUAAGUUCCAUAGAUUAAUCAUGUGAGUGUCCGAGCCGCUCAUGACCGUGAGCACGGCUAGUAUACCAGUUUUACACUCUGCAGAGGUUGCGCAUCUUUACCCACAAGUCAUGUUACCCAUCUGCCAAGGGAUCGCGACUUCCCAUACACCUCUACCGAGGAGGCGAGGCAGGGUAACACUACGAGGCCUUUACAAAGUUCCACUAGCUUCAGAAAACCCGCUACAGUUUAUAGGAAGCUCCAAUGCAGGAAUCCCUUGCAGGACCGCCAUCACAGCAAAAUCCUCCCGAGGGCCUCCCUAGGAAUCCCUUGCAGGACCGCCAUCACAGCAAAAUCCUCCCGAGGGCCUUCCCAGGAAUCCCUUGCAGGACCGCCAUCACAGCAAAAUCCUCCCGAGGGCCUCCCUACACUGACCACUCCCCUACUGCCCUUGCCCCUUUCGGGUAAGGUAGUCUUCCACUAGCUUUCCUAAUUAAUCGGCCAAGGGCGUCCCAUUAAACCCUUGUGGUAGCACUGUUUUCCCGGGUGGUUCUCCAUGUUCCAAUUAACAUAAUGAUCUUAUCAUGAACAGUGAUAAUAAACAGAUAAUAAAAGUGUGAUCAUGAAUAAUGUAUCUUCAUACCCAAAACCACAUAAAGCACUAGCAAGUACUACCCAAAAAGUUCAGUGAUAAACAAGGUAUAAAGAUAGACAAACUAGGGUAACCUAUUGGGUCCCAUCAAAUUAACCUAUGCAGAUCAUUAUGAUUAAUUAGAACAUGAGUGGGUAAAAAGAAGUGAUCAAGGGCACAACUUGCCUGGGUCUUGAGAUUCCAGGUACCAACUUGCUCUUCAGAUGACACGUGUCCUCGUGCUAGUCGUACAAUACAAACAAACAUGGUGUAGAUAAAAUUAACAUCACACCAAACAUAAGAAUACACUGCGUAAAAAUAAUCUACGCGAAGCUACGAGACUAACGCAACUUGAACGGAUCAAAUCGGAGUUAAAACGGAGGAGAUACGAAUUUCCUAAGGUUUUAUGUGUUUGAUAUAAAAUUAUUUGGGAGAUCAAUUUUAUUAUUGUUUUCAUGUCAAAAAAGAGACAUUAGAUGAUAAACAAUAAUAUUACAAAAUUAUAGGAACUGGAAUGAGUCAAAAAGGAGUUAAAAUGUAUUUUCUAGGAAUUAAAGAAGUUUCUGGGAUUAAUUUUGCACUAUUAAUCAUUUUCUAAAUGAAUUUCCAUAGUUUAUUCCCUGACUGGACUGCGCACCAAAAACUAGAAAGUGCAGGGGCUAAACCAUAGUUUUCCCCAAGACUCGGGUGUAUCCCGCGGGGGACGGCGGGUUGGUUUCAUGAAAACAGAGGGUUUCUUUUAUAAAAUGUAAACGGUGAAGGGGCAUCGGGCCACGACAGCCACCCGAUCGAAAUCUGGCAGUCCAGAUUAGAUUGCCCAUUAAGUGAACCGGUGCGCGACACAGACCGUUGGAUCCCCAAGCAGCGACCCAGAUUUAAUUACCCGAGAUUCCAUCGCGACCCUCGGAUCCUGAUCGAACGGCCAUCAUCCUACACCCGAGCUGGGCCGCUAUGAUCCAGUCUGGCCGUCCAUCUGCGAACCAACGGAUCAGAUACCCCAAGCCCAAAACCGGUAAGAGUUAUGCGAUCUGGAACGUCCCUUCAUGAUCCGAUGGUUUAGGUUGCAUCACGCGCAGAGAUACGAUUCCUCCUAAUCCGGCCCACCCAUUACAAGAUCAACGGCCAGGAGCUUCUCUCCCUUACCACUCACACGGCCGGCGAACCCCAGGUAGCGGCGGCAUUCUGCCCACAGAACACGGCGGCGCCAUGACUGACCCUGGCCCAAAUCCGCCUAGGUGCCCCAGACUUCAAUUCGCCCCUAGAAACGGUAUGGCAAUCACAAGGGAAAAGUCCUCACCGGCGGAAACGACGUGCAGAGGCCCGCCCACGGAGGAUUUGUGGUCCGCAGCGGAGCUUCAUCACCGGCAAGAAAUCGCCCCAGAUACGACGCCAUGACCCCCGAAUUGGUGGACGCCGCGACAUCCACACGCUCUGGUGAGGCAUCGGGCGGAUCUCCGAGCGGUGGAGAGGAUGAGCAGCGCGCGGCGAAGGGGGCAACGCCGAGCUCCAUAGAUGGCGAAGGCCUGGCACGCGCGGCCAUGGAGCUCGCGGGGGCACCCUGUACUUGGGUUUGUGGGAGCUCAAAGGGAAGGUUGGAGGCUCGCCCAUGGGGGGGAGCUCCACCCGGCUGCCAGGAAGAGGAGCAGGGGCACUGGGUGCCGAGCGCCAUGGAUGGGCAGAAGGAGAGGAGGUCGUGCGUCCAGGAUAUAUGGCCAGGGAUUCCAGCGCGCGCGGCGAAGAAGUCGCGUUCCGUUGAGGGAGAAGACCGAGCGCGGUUCGUGGAAUUGCUCCCCAAGUCCCAGCGACGAAGUAGCGACGUCUGUUACGGAGCUCGAGCGGAAGAAGGAACUGGCGUCCCGGGCCCACGUGGUAGAGACACAGGGCGCCCACAGUGUUGUGCUAUUGGGCUGGCACGGCAAUGGGCCAGCGCGAGGAAAAGGGAGCGUAGAUGGGCCAGCGCGGGGAGAAUACAGCCCAAGGUGCCAAGUAGAGGCUUCUUUUAUUUAUUUCUGUUUUUCAUUUCCAAUUGAAUUCUAUUUUGAAUUUGAGUUUGAAUUUUCUAUCUCAAACAAAAUACACAAUUGGAAUCCAGCAUGAUGCAAUAUUCAUUAUAUAUAUAUAUGUUUUUAUUCAUUCAUUUCUUAUUCUACGUAAGCAAUUGCUUUUGAAUAUGUAGCACACAUGUAAUUAUUUUAAGAAAAAUAGUUAUAUUGUAUGAUCUCUUAAAAAAAUGUUCUCACAUUAACACUUAUAGUCUUUAAUAAAGUCUAAUGUAUAUAAACGUAUUUUUUUUGAUAGAACUUUUAUAAGGAGAUUUGACUUCACAUGUUAUGGGAAUUCUUAAAGAAGAGAAAAAAAAAUUAUUCUAGUUCAAGAUCUUUGAUUUUUUUUUACUAUAUUCUCAAAAUGAGAUUUAGGGUGUUACAAAUCCUACCCCCCUUAAAAAUAAUCUCGUCCUCGAGAUUUGUAGAAAAGGGAUGCAACCAGUUUGGUUUAGGAAUCAAAAGUUUUGUUUCAAGUUUUUUUUUUAUACUCGCUAGUAGAUGAUUUGGAAAAUAUAGAUAUAUAUAUAUAUAUAUAUGUGUGUGUGUGUAUAGCCAUCUAUUAUGUCAGAUGAGGUACGAUUAUGGCAAGUAUAGGUUGUGGCAAGGAAGAGUAUAAUAAGGAAAGACUUCAUCCUGAACUGUGGAUCUUGAUUCCGCUGGCGAUUCAACUUGAUCUUUGAAGUCUUGGGUUGAUGCUUAUCCUUCUUUGUCGUGGUUGGUAUUCUUUGGCCUUUCUUGUUGGAGUUGCCAUCCGAGUUAAGGACAUAUGGUGACUAUAUAUGUGAGUAGGAUGGAUUAUGUGGUGUAGGUAGGUUAGAAUCCCUUGCUAGGUUAAAAUUGAGGGGUUAUGCAACUAUCGGAUGGUUAAGGUAGUUGCAUAAGGCCAAGUCGGUCUGUCGUUCUUAAUUUUAGUGCAGGGUGAACUAAGUUAAGACAUGUUCUAUUAGAGUAGAGUCUAAUCUAUUUCAUCAGUAUUAUCUAACAUGUUUGAUAAGCCACUUUAGAUUAGAUCGGAUCUAGGUUAGAUUGGUGUGACUAGCUUGAACUAGAUAAGAUCUAAUUAAUUUGGAUUGGAUCAUGAUUGUUACUCCGAGGUGAGAUAAGCAAAGUGGUUAGGAUAAGAUAAGAUAAGAUAGUUUCUUUUAGGAUGAGAUAAAUCUAUUAAGGUAAGAAAAUAUCUUUUAAGAUAAGAAGGAUAUUAUGAAGCUAGAUAUAUUUUAAUGGAGGAUAUUCUUAGUUUAUCUAGUGAUAUUAUGAUUUCUUAUGUCUUUAUGUAUAUGCAGAUGGAAUUGUGGACAUUACUCCACAACUCAUCACAUUCAAUCAAAGAACCAAAUCAAACAGUUAUCAUAAGAACAAACAUUCAAACGUAUAGAUAUCUACAAAAAUAAUUUUGUUUUUGUUCCUAAGAGUAGGUCUCAUAUUCCUAAAGUCACUUUAGGCACAGGAUUUCAAAGUGUGAAAUCCACAUUUGUCUUUAGAAAGAAAAGGUAAGAUUAAUCAGAGUAAAGCGGAAAUAGAUGAGAAAAGAUUAAGAUAAGUUUAGAAAAGAAUCAGAGUAGCAAAGGUAAGUAGAUAAUGGUUGUCCAGUUCUAUCUAGGUUUCGUCCUACAGUCAACAUUCCUCUGAUACCACUUCUGUAACACCCGGAUUUUAGGGGUCCAAAACCCGGGCGCUAACAUAAACACCAGGUAUGCUGGGACCAAGUCUCACACAUAUGAUGUAAAGUGGCACAGGAUCGAAUGUCACAUCUUUAUAUAUAACAGGAGUUCUAUACAAAAUAAAUAAUUACAUUAUAAGGAGACAACGGUCCAGCAACCCAAAGUUGACUGGGAGACGACGACCUAGACCACUCACGAACUCAACGCAGCAUCCUUCAAGCGCCUCAUCCUGCGGUACCUGUUCUUGACCUGUGGGGGGGGGGGGUGUGAGACAGCAAGAGUGAGCUCACAUACGUUCAUCGCUCAACAAGUUGUGGGGAAUAAUGUG
This 5090-nucleotide long non-coding RNA is filed under the name Zea mays. RNAcentral describes it as "long non-coding RNA (ZMAY_LNC000767)". The record is from RNAcentral. Lineage: Eukaryota; Viridiplantae; Streptophyta; Magnoliopsida; Poales; Poaceae.